This 484-nucleotide ribosomal RNA is filed under the name uncultured bacterium. RNAcentral's name for it is "partial 16S ribosomal RNA". It matches the Rfam family "Bacterial small subunit ribosomal RNA", at positions 30 to 507 of the family's 1533-position model. The record is from RNAcentral.
AUUGAACGCUGGCGGCAGGCCUAACACAUGCAAGUCGAGCGGAUGAAGGGAGCUUGCUCCUGGAUUCAGCGGCGGACGGGUGAGAAAUGCCUAGGAAUCUGCCUGGUAGUGGGGGAUAACGUCCGGAAACGGGCGCUAAUACCGCAUACGUCCUGAGGGAGAAAGUGGGGGAUCUUCGGACCUCACGCUAUCAGAUGAGCCUAGGUCGGAUUAGCUAGUUGGUGGGGUAAAGGCCUACCAAGGCGACGAUCCGUAACUGGUCUGAGAGGAUGAUCAGUCACACUGGAACUGAGACACGGUCCAGACUCCUACGGGAGGCAGCAGUGGGGAAUAUUGGACAAUGGGCGAAAGCCUGAUCCAGCCAUGCCGCGUGUGUGAAGAAGGUCUUCGGAUUGUAAAGCACUUUAAGUUGGGAGGAAGGGCAGUAAGUUAAUACCGUGCUGUUUUGACGUUACCAACAGAAUAAGCACCGGCUAACUUCGUG